This 200-nucleotide ribosomal RNA is filed under the name uncultured bacterium. RNAcentral's name for it is "partial 16S ribosomal RNA". It matches the Rfam family "Bacterial small subunit ribosomal RNA", at positions 8 to 209 of the family's 1533-position model. The record is from RNAcentral.
AGAGUUUGAUCCUGGCUCAGAACGAACGCUGGCGGCGUGCCUAACACAUGCAAGUCGAGCGCGAAUGGAGCAAUCCUAGUAGAGCGGCGCACGGGUGCGUAACACGUGGGUAAUCUGCCCUGAAGCCCGGAAUAACCUGCCGAAAGGCAAGCUAAUACCGGAUAAGCCUACGGUCCCCUCGGGACGUGAAGGAAAAGGUG